UGGGGAAUUUUGGACAAUGGGGGCAACCCUGAUCCAGCCAUGCCGCGUGUGUGAAGAAGGCCUUCGGGUUGUAAAGCACUUUCGGACGGAACGAAAUCGCACGGGUUAAUAUCCCGUGUGGAUGACGGUACUGUAAGAAGAAGCACCGGCUAACUACGUGCCAGCAGCCGCGGUAAUACGUAGGGUGCGAGCGUUAAUCGGAAUUACUGGGCGUAAAGCGUGCGCAGGCGGCUUCGCAAGUCAGACGUGAAAGCCCCGGGCUUAACCUGGGAAUGGCGUUUGAAACUACGGAGCUGGAGUGUGGCAGAGGGAGGUAGAAUUCCACGUGUAGCGGUGAAAUGCGUAGAUAUGUGGAGGAAUACCGAUGGCGAAGGCAGCCUCCUGGGCCAACACUGACGCUCAUGCACGAAAGCGUGGGGAGCAAACAGG
This 429-nucleotide ribosomal RNA is filed under the name uncultured bacterium. RNAcentral describes it as "bacterial SSU rRNA". It matches the Rfam family "Bacterial small subunit ribosomal RNA", at positions 355 to 776 of the family's 1533-position model. The record is from RNAcentral.